Molecule: long non-coding RNA, 741 nt
Organism: Daktulosphaira vitifoliae (grape phylloxera)
Lineage: Eukaryota; Metazoa; Arthropoda; Insecta; Hemiptera; Phylloxeridae
Exons: 4
Source: RefSeq, a predicted model, not a curated record
ACAGUGCAUAACAAUUUCCAACGAAAUAUCACUGUACCAUACAGAGGUGCGAGAUUUGUUGACACAUUAUUUUGUAACUAAAAGAUUUAGUCUAUUGUCUGCCAACAGAUGGAUUGUUAUUGUUGUGAAUUUCAGUGGUAAUAAAUACAGUUAUUUUUCCGUUGAAAUUCAAAAUUUACAUGUGAUCUAACAGCUUUCAACUUAAUAAUUUAAUUGUUUAUCAGCUGACGAAUUUUUCAAACAUUUGCCGCCUAACUCACGUCCAACAUAACGCGAUUUUGGCGGCAAUCCGUUUUGUCAUAGCUCACGAGAGGUUAAAAAAGAAAUCAGGUGUUAACAUCCAAAUUUUUUAGAAGUAAUUUUAUUGAUCAGUAUCUGAUACUAAAUGAAAUUUUGUGAAAAUUAUGUCAAGUGUUCUAUAAUAAUUUAGAAGCCAAAAUUUCAGAAUAAUAGUGUGCACUGUUGACGUUUUCAUUGUUUUUGCAAAAUCAUCAAAACAUUUUUGAUGCCGCUAUAUUAUUAAAAUACGCCGGUACUAAGCAAAAAAAAACACUUGUUGAAGUUAGCCAAUCAUAUUUCUUUUAGACUAUUAUUAUUAUGGAAACUCCUCCAUUUAAUCCAGAGCCAACAAACCGAAUUAUGACAAGGAGUGUAUUAGCUGAAAUACCCACUAGACUUGGACGUUUAUCUAUGACUGAUCCUAAUCAAGGUCGAACUGAUCACCAUGUCAAUAUUAUGAAU